RNAcentral lists this ribosomal RNA (544 nucleotides) under Carybdea cf. xaymacana auct. non Conant, 1897. Its description in RNAcentral is "Carybdea xaymacana auct. non Conant, 1897 partial 16S ribosomal RNA". It matches the Rfam family "Bacterial large subunit ribosomal RNA", at positions 1803 to 2534 of the family's 2925-position model. The record is from RNAcentral. Lineage: Eukaryota; Metazoa; Cnidaria; Cubozoa; Carybdeida; Carybdeidae.
UUUACCAAAAACAUAGCUAACUGCUAGGAAUUACUGUGUGUAUAGUUAGUGAAACCUGCUCACUGAAGAAAGGAAAAACAAAGAGAUUUUCUUUAAAGAGCCGCGGUAACUCUGACCGUGCUAAGGUAGCAUAAUCAAUCGCCCUUUAAUUGAGGGCUAGAAUGAAAGGAAUAACGAGCUUUUCCCUGUCUCGAGCACAGGCUAGUUGAAAUUUAGAACCUCGUUAAGACGCGAGGAUCCCCUGGUUAGACGAGAAGACCCCGUCGAGCUUUAUUCCAAAUUGUUAAUUAUCAAAUGAUAGAACUUUUGACAUGUAAGGAAUUUAGUUGGGGUGACUACCCAAAAGACAGAAACUUGGGUGAGCAAUGGUUGUUCUUAAAAGAGUAAGCUUGAUAGGGAGAAGGACACUCCUCCGUACUACUGAGCCAGUAUGUUUAAUAACCCGUUCAAAAUAAGAACGAUAACGAAAAAGCUACCGCGGGGAUAACAGGGUUAUCCAACCUAAGAGCUCCCAUCAAAGGUUGGGUUUGCCACCUCGAUGUUG